RNAcentral lists this ribosomal RNA (701 nucleotides) under uncultured bacterium. Its description in RNAcentral is "bacterial SSU rRNA". It matches the Rfam family "Bacterial small subunit ribosomal RNA", at positions 817 to 1515 of the family's 1533-position model. The record is from RNAcentral.
UUGGAGGUUGUGCCCUUGAGGCGUGGCUUCCGGAGCUAACGCGUUAAGUCGACCGCCUGGGGAGUACGGCCGCAAGGUUAAAACUCAAAUGAAUUGACGGGGGCCCGCACAAGCGGUGGAGCAUGUGGUUUAAUUCGAUGCAACGCGAAGAACCUUACCUACUCUUGACAUCCAGAGAACUUAGCAGAGAUGCUUUGGUGCCUUCGGGAACUCUGAGACAGGUGCUGCAUGGCUGUCGUCAGCUCGUGUUGUGAAAUGUUGGGUUAAGUCCCGCAACGAGCGCAACCCUUAUCCUUUGUUGCCAGCGGUUAGGCCGGGAACUCAAAGGAGACUGCCAGUGAUAAACUGGAGGAAGGUGGGGAUGACGUCAAGUCAUCAUGGCCCUUACGAGUAGGGCUACACACGUGCUACAAUGGCAUAUACAAAGAGAAGCGACCUCGCGAGAGCAAGCGGACCUCAUAAAGUAUGUCGUAGUCCGGAUUGGAGUCUGCAACUCGACUCCAUGAAGUCGGAAUCGCUAGUAAUCGUGGAUCAGAAUGCCACGGUGAAUACGUUCCCGGGCCUUGUACACACCGCCCGUCACACCAUGGGAGUGGGUUGCAAAAGAAGUAGGUAGCUUAACCUUCGGGAGGGCGCUUACCACUUUGUGAUUCAUGACUGGGGUGAAGUCGUAACAAAGGUUAACCGUAGGGGAACCUGGC